GAUUUCGGUAACAGUAAGCAGGAUGUUUACUGGUCAGGACGACAAAUGGACCACUUCAGGACGAAGUCAGGGACACCUCUAGGAUAGAGGCAUAAAGGAACACUUCAGGGUUGAAGUAAAGGACACCUCCAGGAAGGAGAUGAGAGUUGAUAUAGGAUGUAUCGACGGGCUAAGGAAAGCCAAAGGAUCUCUUCAGGACGAAGAUAAAAGGACAAUGCUGACGGAUUACAGCAGUCAAUGGAAUGAUGCAGGGAGCACCAUAGUAGCCGGAUUGCUGCAAGUAAGACCUAAGGGCGCGACGCAAGUCGCGCCCGCUCUUUUAUGU
This 325-nucleotide non-coding RNA is filed under the name Photobacterium profundum SS9. The record is from RNAcentral. Lineage: Bacteria; Pseudomonadati; Pseudomonadota; Gammaproteobacteria; Vibrionales; Vibrionaceae.